RNAcentral lists this ribosomal RNA (460 nucleotides) under uncultured bacterium. RNAcentral's name for it is "partial 16S ribosomal RNA". It matches the Rfam family "Bacterial small subunit ribosomal RNA", at positions 338 to 795 of the family's 1533-position model. The record is from RNAcentral.
CCUACGGGAGGCAGCAGUGAGGAAUAUUGGUCAAUGGCCGGAAGGCUGAACCAGCCAUGCCGCGUGAAGGUCAGUGCCCUAUGGGCGUUAAACUUCUUUUGUGCGGGAGCAAUAAUGGUCACGUGUGGCCAGACGAGAGUACCGUACGAAUAAGCAUCGGCUAACUCCGUGCCAGCAGCCGCGGUAAUACGGGGGAUGCAAGCGUUAUCCGGAUUUAUUGGGUUUAAAGGGUGCGUAGGCUGUGAGGGAAGUCAGCGGGGAAAUGCCCCCGCUCAAAGGGGUGAAGUGCCAUUGAUACUGCCUUGCUGGAAUGCGGAUGCGGUGGGAGGAAUGUGUGGUGUAGCGGUGAAAUGCAUAGAUAUCACACAGAACACCGAUUGCGAAGGCAUCUCCCGAAUCCGCGAUUGACGCUGAUGCACGAAAGCGUGGGUAUCAAACAGGAUUAGAUACCCGGGUAGUC